UUCUCAAGCUCUUCCCUAACUUGCUUUCGAAAAGCCAGCGCCCAAUAGAGCUUAGCCAUGUGUAGGCCGAAAUGGUCUCGCGAAGCCGGUCACCGUCUAAUCACUUGAGAUGCUGGGGGAACAUUGUUCACCGGGAUAGAAGGCUGGUCCCAACCCGUCUACCAAUGUCAUUUCAUGAAGAUGGACACUGGCUUGGGGGCGGGCGCCUAUCCGACAUAUAAUAGGUACAGCCGGUAUAAUAUAAUAUAUUCUUACUAUGAAGAAUCGUUCCACCCUAUUGUCAGCUCUACGGCUGAGAAAGUAUUCCCCGGUAAUCCGAAGAGUUAGGAAGAAAGUCUUCUUAUUGGGCAAACAAGGUACUCUUAUUUUUAAGAAAUCGAUGCCUUUCUUCUUUUCUUUUGAAAAAGCCGUAUUUUCAGUUCACUUCCCCUUUUCUCUGUUGGUCAACAACCAACCCCCUAGUAGAUAUAGAAAGAACCAUCCCAACAAAGCUAGAGGGUGGACCGAUGAUCCAACCCCAUACCGAGAUUCCUUUUGAUAAGUAUGUUACAAUUUCAUCUUUCGCUCGUUCCCUCAAGAGCUAGAUUUAAGGAAGUAGUUAUGUCAGCAAGCUCGAGGUCUAACCUCAUCCUAAAACUACUUCUCCAAGCCGUAGACGGAAGACCAAGAUUCUGAUAAUGAUACAUCCUUAGCUAUGGGAAGAAGUACGAUGCUUUUAGCCAAUUCUACCUCUUAGCGAGGGCUUGACAGAGUUCUCAUAGGGGAUUCCGGUAUAUCGUAUAAAAGAGAAAGGAUUCAUUUAGGAGCGCUCUUUUCAUCCAACUCGAAAUGUCGUAAGUAACAAUAGCGCAAAAGCCAUAGCACAGCUUAUU
This 872-nucleotide long non-coding RNA is filed under the name Nicotiana benthamiana. RNAcentral's name for it is "long non-coding RNA (NBEN_LNC024659)". Lineage: Eukaryota; Viridiplantae; Streptophyta; Magnoliopsida; Solanales; Solanaceae. The record is from RNAcentral.